GACUCAAAUAUACGUUGGAGAUAGGUUGGUGGAAGCCCAGUGUGGUGCCCAGAGCUGGGGCCUGGUUAUAGGGCAUUUCCAAGUCUCUGGGCAAUGUCCCUCCUCUCAGAAGAGGGGAUGGAGUAAUGCCAUCACAUCUCAGGUAAAUUCCCUCACCGUCCGGUGGCCCAGUGCCUAGAGAGUUUGACAGGCUGUCUUAAAUUUGAGUCCCCUUUGCUUGAUGGAAGGCCCACCGCUGGACCCAGAAUUCCCUGGCAUGAAUUUUGGCUAUCCCGUUUGCUCGUAUCAGGCUGGUCCACAUAGAGUUGAGCUUCUAGAAAGCUGGCCUUCUCGUUGUGAGUGUAUUGUGUCAACCCAGUGCUUUUAGGGGGCAGGCUGCACUCAUGCCCUUGCUCUUUCUCCCUCCAGUUCUCCUCAAACUUCUUCCCUCACACCCGAGUCUCUUCCCCCCCUAGGAGUCUCCUGGUGCAUGGAAUCUACCAGAAACUGGGUAAUAUAUAUAAAUCUGGGUCAUCCCUGGCUUCACGCUGGAUCCAAGGGCUGAAGGGUGCUGGUCAAUGUGGAGCCUGCUCUCAUGACUUACAAAAUGGAGGGGAUUUCAGGGUGUGGGGUGGUGCUGUGUUGGGUGAGGGUCUUGGCUGACUGUGACAGUGCACCCGACAGGGAGAGGAGGAAGAAUAUCAUGCUGGCAAUUGCCCCGGGCCAGGGCACACCAGAAUUUAGCUGCGGGACACAGAGGAAGGUCUGAGAGUUGCUGUUAGAGGACAUGUCCUCCAGAGGGCGACAGAGCACCAGCAGAGCCCGCUGCAUCUCCCUGCAUCUCCAGGCUCAGAUUGGACUGGAAAGGGACCCAUGGAAUCCCAAGGAGGGGCCCAGAGCCGGGGGUUUGUUUUCAUGGUGCUCUGAUACUGCGGCCCAAUGGGACUCCAUUCAGUGAGGGGAUGGACUUUUGCCAUCAGGGUUCCCCAAAGCCUCUGCCUGCCUUCUGCAGCUGAGCUGCUUCAGCCUCUGUGGGACACCCAUUUGAAGGAACCUGUCCAAAUCCAUGUAAGAGAUCUCCUAUUUUUUCCCUCCCACCUGAGGCUCUUCCUCCUCACCAGACACCUGUUCCAAGGAAGCUCCUGCAACUAGGUAAGAUGAAUCAAGCCUGGGUGGUCCUUGGCGUCUAUCUGGGUCCCAGGGCUGAAGGGUGCCGACUGAUUCAGAGCCGGCUGAAGUGACUUACAGAGCUGGGUCUUUGAUUUCAGGGUGUGGGCUUGUGUCUUGAGGGUUGAGUAUCCAGGGUGACAGUGAAGAAUCCAUACUCCCACCGCAAGAGUGGAUUUCAGUGUGCCUGAGAGGAAGAG
This 1346-nucleotide long non-coding RNA is filed under the name Sus scrofa (pig). RNAcentral describes it as "lncRNA (ENSSSCG00070022526.1)". Lineage: Eukaryota; Metazoa; Chordata; Mammalia; Artiodactyla; Suidae. The record is from RNAcentral.